RNA transcript from Amborella trichopoda, 1793 nucleotides. It is a transcript of the gene named 28 kDa ribonucleoprotein, chloroplastic, with no coding region annotated. Lineage: Eukaryota; Viridiplantae; Streptophyta; Magnoliopsida; Amborellales; Amborellaceae. The record is from RefSeq and is a predicted model, not a curated record.
AAUACCGUUCAGCAGUAACACGGGGGGAUUCAUCACAGUUGGGUAUGGCAGCUCUAUCCACACUCUCGCUCCUCAUUCGUUCACCAGCAUUCCUUCCCUCCUCUCUCUCACUCCCCCUUUCUCUCUCUAAACGCAGGCCUUGCUUCUGGAUAAACUUCCAUCUCCCUCUUCAAUCGAUCAACAAAAAGGGGAGCAGGCAUCUCUCCCUUCUUCUCUGCGCUACGCACCAAGAAUCCAACACCCCAGAACCAGAACCCGAACCAAAGAGCUCUGAGAAAACCCUUGAAAGCAAUGUCACUACUUUAAAGACGAGACUAUACGUCACUAAUUUGCCAUGGACUUGCACUUCAGAGGAUAUUAAGAACCUCUUUCAACAGUGUGGGGCAGUAAUAGACGUUGAGCUAAUGAAGUUCAAAGCCGGUAGAAACAGAGGGAUGGCGUUUGUUAUGAUGAGUUCAGAGGAUGAAGCUCUUGCAGCUCUUGUUAAAUUGAAUUCAUAUGAAUUUGGGGGCCGGACCAUUAAGGCCGAACUUGCGAAGAAAGCAAAGAAAAUUUCUCCUUCCGUUUCGUCAAAAAAAAUCUCUCCUCCUGUGGGAACUGUGGAAACAAGGCAUAAGGUUUAUGUUGGUAAUCUAGAUUGGAGGGUGAGAUCUAGUGAUCUCAGGGAAUUCUUCACAAAACACAGUAAUGCCCUCUCUGCUAGAGUAGUCUAUGGGGGAACAAAGGGGAAACCAGCUGGUUAUGGUUUUGUUAGCUUUGCUUCAAAAGAAGAUGCAGAGGCAGCUGUAGCUACACUUGAGGGAAAGGAGUUAAAUGGAAGAUCACUUCGUCUGAGAAUAGCCCGAGAUGUACCAAGUGAUUCUAGUGACAAUGCAAAAGAGGAUGAAGGGGCAUCAGAAGGAAUAAGUGAUGUUGAAAAUCUACCUAAUGAUGGAGUGGAUAAUGAAAUCCAAUUAACGGAAGCUAGCAAAUGAAAACAUGUUGAAAUACUGAGUAGUAUUAUAACGCUGGCCUCUAUGAUCAAGGAAUAAAGAUUGUAGUGUAUCUGGAGGAUGAGAUUACUUGAGGGCCGAGGAGGCAUGCCUCAGGUGGACCUAUCAAGAAUUUGAGACUCUCUCAACUUGGACUAACAUCAACUGGGAGGCUUUUUUCUUUCUUGCCAUCCUGCUCCCUCUACUGAUGAGAUGGUUUUGUCAUAUGGGUUUAUUAAAUGGCUACGGUGAUUUCCUUUUUUAUCGUUCCAUGAAUGAAUAUUUCAUCACACUUUGAGGAAAGAGAUACAUAAAUUGAGAUGUUUUUGGAGCCUGGUGAUAAGUCCACUAGUUAACAAGGAAACAAGAUGAAGAAUUCAAAGAGCUUCUGGACAUUUGGUUAAAAGCUAAGGUCACUGACUAUUUGAAGGUUUCAAUGUCCCAAUGGCCCAACACACUAGGGCUCUCUAUACAAGCCUUUUCCUUGAAAUUCAAGAGGCCAUGACUUGAAUCUUAAUGAGAUGUAUGAAGCAGAAAAGGGGAAUAUAUCCCUUGGAAGAGUGGCGGUUUAUUAUUUAAUGUGAUGUUAGACAUUUCUAAUGUCCUUAACCAGCCAGACAUAAGCCAACAGUUGGCUGGUUUAUCUAUCAGCCAUCAAGUUUUUGGGAUUCUCUCUUCUACUUUUUUGUAAGGUUGUUAAUGUAAUUCUCUUAUUUUAGGUUGUAAGGACAUGUUUAGACAAUUAAUUUUAUCAAGGGUAAACUAUCUUAUUUGUAAUUGAUAUACUCUACAUCAUAGUAUGUUUUUACUAUUCCAACUCAA